Molecule: ribosomal RNA, 499 nt
Filed under: uncultured bacterium
Lineage: Bacteria
Description: partial 16S ribosomal RNA
Rfam family: Bacterial small subunit ribosomal RNA
Source: RNAcentral
GACGAACGCUGGCGGCGUGCCUAAUACAUGCAAGUCGAGCGAAGUUUUUCUGGUGCUUGCACCGGAAAAACUUAGCGGCGAACGGGUGAGUAACACGUAAAGAACCUGCCUUAUAGACUGGGACAACUAUUGGAAACGAUAGCUAAUACCGGAUAACAGCAUUAACUGCAUGGUUGAUGUUUGAAAGUUGGUUUUGCUAACACUAUGAGAUGGCUUUGCGGUGCAUUAGCUAGUUGGUGGGGUAAAGGCCUACCAAGGCGACGAUGCAUAGCCGACCUGAGAGGGUGAUCGGCCACACUGGGACUGAGACACGGCCCAGACUCCUACGGGAGGCAGCAGUAGGGAAUCUUGCGCAAUGGGCGAAAGCCUGACGGAGCAACGCCGCGUGAGUGAAGAAGGAUUUCGGUUCGUAAAGCUCUGUUGUUAGGGAAGAAUGAUUGUGUAGUAACUAUACACAGUAGAGACGGUACCUAAACAGAAAGCCACGGCUAACUACGUG